Molecule: microRNA precursor, 84 nt
Organism: Pan troglodytes (chimpanzee)
Lineage: Eukaryota; Metazoa; Chordata; Mammalia; Primates; Hominidae
Rfam family: mir-142 microRNA precursor family
Source: Rfam
CAGUGCAGUCACCCAUAAAGUAGAAAGCACUACUAACAGCACUGGAGGGUGUAGUGUUUCCUACUUUAUGGAUGAGUGUACUGU